GCGACCCCAGGACGGGCGAGACCACCCGCCG
This 31-nucleotide ribosomal RNA is filed under the name Cottonia peduncularis. Its description in RNAcentral is "partial 26S ribosomal RNA". Lineage: Eukaryota; Viridiplantae; Streptophyta; Magnoliopsida; Asparagales; Orchidaceae. The record is from RNAcentral.